This 391-nucleotide unclassified non-coding RNA is filed under the name soil metagenome. RNAcentral's name for it is "partial contains 5.8S ribosomal RNA, internal transcribed spacer 2, and large subunit ribosomal RNA". The stretch from base 1 to 122 matches the Rfam family "5.8S ribosomal RNA", at positions 35 to 154 of the family's 154-position model. The record is from RNAcentral.
GAUGAAGAACGUAGCGAAAUGCGAUACUUGGUGUGAAUUGCAGAAUCCCGUGAACCAUCGAGUCUUUGAACGCAAGUUGCGCCCGAAGCCAUUAGGCCGAGGGCACGCCUGCCUGGGCGUCACACGUCGUUGCCCCCCCAUCUACUCCUCCGGGAUUGCGGGGGGCGGAUGAUGGCCUCCCGUGCGCCUCGUCGCGCGGUUGGCCUAAAUGCCAAGUCCUCGGCGACGCACGCCACGACAAUCGGUGGUUGCGAAACCUCGGUUGCCUGUCGUGUGCGGUCGUCGCGCAUCGAGGGCUCGAAAAAAUUGCCGGGCUUCGGCUCGACUUUCAACGCGACCCCAGGUCAGGCGGGGUUACCCGCUGAAUUUAAGCAUAUCAAUAAGCGGAGGA